RNAcentral lists this antisense RNA (75 nucleotides) under Micromonospora marina. RNAcentral describes it as "ASpks TB sRNA". It matches the Rfam family "ASpks TB sRNA". The record is from RNAcentral. Lineage: Bacteria; Bacillati; Actinomycetota; Actinomycetes; Micromonosporales; Micromonosporaceae.
CUUCACCGAGCCGAGCCACAACGGCCGGUCGGCGGACCGGCCCUGCCCAUACGUCGCAAUCAGCGCCUGCGCCUC